Long non-coding RNA from Manis pentadactyla (Chinese pangolin), 479 nucleotides. RefSeq lists it as uncharacterized. Lineage: Eukaryota; Metazoa; Chordata; Mammalia; Pholidota; Manidae. The transcript is spliced from 3 exons. The record is from RefSeq and is a predicted model, not a curated record.
GUGAGAGGCGGGUGAGGUGGGAGGGCCCGUAGCUUCCGUGGCUGAGAGGAGCCGGCGGUAGCCGUGUCUGUGGUGCCCUCGGCGGCGGCGUGAGCGACCGUCCCGUCCUCCCCACCCCCUCCGCUCCACUCGCCACACGCCCUCCGCUCGCACCGACUUCUCCCCAGCUCCGCGCGCCCUGGCUGGACGUUGAGUCUCGAGAGGAGACGCACGCGGCGAGAGCUGGAGCGGGGACCGCCGCGGAGCCCCGGCCGGCGGAGAGCUAGGCGAGAUUGAAGGGUAUGGUUGGCAUGGAUUGAAUUUCAUCUGUCUUUGGGACUUGUGAACAAGUUUGCCAUCACGAAAGCCAAAGUGGAUUUUUCCAGUGUAGUGUGCCUGCCCCCUUCCGUCAUUGCUGUGAAUGGGCUGGACGGAGGAGGGGCUGGCGAAAAUGAUGAUGAACCAGUUCUGGUGUCCUUGUCUGCGGCCCCCAGCCCCCA